RNAcentral lists this ribosomal RNA (460 nucleotides) under uncultured bacterium. RNAcentral describes it as "partial 16S ribosomal RNA". It matches the Rfam family "Bacterial small subunit ribosomal RNA", at positions 338 to 795 of the family's 1533-position model. The record is from RNAcentral.
CCUACGGGGGGCUGCAGUGAGGAAUAUUGGUCAAUGGACGAGAGUCUGAACCAGCCAAGUAGCGUGAAGGAUGACUGCCCUAUGGGUUGUAAACUUCUUUUAUAUGGGAAUAAAAUGUUCCACGUGUGGGAUUUUGUAUGUACCAUAUGAAUAAGGAUCGGCUAACUCCGUGCCAGCAGCCGCGGUAAUACGGAGGAUCCGAGCGUUAUCCAGAUUUAUUGGGUUUAAAGGGAGCGUAGGUGGAUUGUUAAGUCAGUUGUGAAAGUUUGCGGCUCAACCGUAAAAUUGCAGUUGAAACUGGCAGUCUUGAGUACAGUAGAGGUGGGCGGAAUUCGUGGUGUAGCGGUGAAAUGCUUAGAUAUCACGAAGAACUCCGAUUGCGAAGGCAGUUCACUGGACUGCAACUGACACUGAGGCUCGAAAGUGUGGGUAUCAAACAGGAUUAGAUACCCGUGUAGUC